Molecule: ribosomal RNA, 497 nt
Filed under: uncultured bacterium
Lineage: Bacteria
Description: partial 16S ribosomal RNA
Rfam family: Bacterial small subunit ribosomal RNA
Source: RNAcentral
GAUGAACGCUGGCGGCGUGCCUAAUACAUGCAAGUCGAGCGAACAGAUGAGGAGCUUGCUCCUCUGACGUUAGCGGCGGACGGGUGAGUAACACGUGGAUAACCUACCUAUAAGGCUGGGAUAACUUCGGGAAACCGGAGCUAAUACCGGAUAAUAUAUUGAACCGCAUGGUUCAAUAGUGAAAGACGGUUUUGCUGUCACUUAUAGAUGGAUCCGCGCCGCAUUAGCUAGUUGGUAAGGUAACGGCUUACCAAGGCGACGAUGCGUAGCCGACCUGAGAGGGUGAUCGGACACACUGGAACUGAGACACGGUACAGACUCCUACGGGAGGCAGCAGUAGGGAAUCUUCCGCAAUGGGCGAAAGCCUGACGGAGCAACGCCGCGUGAGUGAUGAAGGUCUUCGGAUCGUAAAACUCUGUUAUUAGGGAAGAACAAAUGUGUAAGUAACUAUGCACGUCUUGACGGUACCUAAUCAGAAAGCCACGGCUAACUACGUG